GAGUUUGAUCAUGGCUCAAGAUGAACGCUAGCUACAGGCUUAACACAUGCAAGUCGAGGGGAAACGACAUCGAAAGCUUGCUUUUGAUGGGCGUCGACCGGCGCACGGGUGAGUAACGCGUAUCCAACCCGCCCACCACUUGGGGAUAACCUUGCGAAAGUAAGACUAAUACCCAAUGACGUCUCUAGAAGACAUCUGAAAGAGAUUAAAGAUUUAUCGGUGAUGGAUGGGGAUGCGUCUGAUUAGCUUGUUGGCGGGGUAACGGCCACAAGGCGACGAUCAGUAGGGGUUCUGAGAGGAAGGUCCCCCANAUUGGAACUGAGACACGGUCCAAACUCCUACGGGAGGCA
Molecule: ribosomal RNA, 350 nt
Filed under: uncultured bacterium
Lineage: Bacteria
Description: bacterial SSU rRNA
Rfam family: Bacterial small subunit ribosomal RNA
Source: RNAcentral